CAAGACCUUGCGCUUUUGGAGCGGCCGAUGUCUGAUUAGCUAGUUGGUGAGGUAAAGGCUUACCAAGGCGUCGAUCAGUAGCUGGUCUGAGAGGACGACCAGCCACACUGGGACUGAGACACGGCCCAGACUCCUACGGGAGGCAGCAGUGGGGAAUUUUGGACAAUGGGGGAAACCCUGAUCCAGCCAUGCCGCGUGAGUGAAGAAGGCCUUCGGGUUGUAAAGCUCUUUCAGCCGGAACGAAACGGUCACGGUUAAUACCCGUGACUACUGACGGUACCGGAAGAAGAAGCACCGGCUAACUACGUGCCAGCAGCCGCGGUAAUACGUAGGGUGCGAGCGUUAAUCGGAAUUACUGGGCGUAAAGCGUGCGCAGGCGGUUUUGUAAGUCAGAUGUGAAAUCCCCGGGCUUAACCUGGGAACU
RNAcentral lists this ribosomal RNA (424 nucleotides) under uncultured beta proteobacterium. Its description in RNAcentral is "bacterial SSU rRNA". It matches the Rfam family "Bacterial small subunit ribosomal RNA", at positions 207 to 622 of the family's 1533-position model. The record is from RNAcentral. Lineage: Bacteria; Pseudomonadati; Pseudomonadota; Betaproteobacteria. RNAcentral also lists the same sequence under 1 other name.